UGCUAGAAGAUGACGAGUGGCGGACGGGUGAGUAAUGCUUGGGAACUUGCCUUUGCGAGGGGGAUAACAGUUGGAAACGACUGCUAAUACCGCAUAAUGUCUUCGGACCAAACGGGGCUUAGGCUCCGGCGCAAAGAGAGGCCCAAGUGAGAUUAGCUAGUUGGUAAGGUAACGGCUUACCAAGGCGACGAUCUCUAGCUGUUCUGAGAGGAAGAUCAGCCACACUGGGACUGAGACACGGCCCAGACUCCUACGGGAGGCAGCAGUGGGGAAUAUUGCACAAUGGGGGAAACCCUGAUGCAGCCAUGCCGCGUGUGUGAAGAAGGCCUUCGGGUUGUAAAGCACUUUCAGUUGUGAGGAAAAGUUAGUAGUUAAUACCUGCUAGCCGUGACGUUAACAACAGAAGAAGCACCGGCUAACUCCGUACCAGCAGCCGCGGUAAUACGGAGGGUGCGAGCGUUAAUCGGAAUUACUGGGCGUAAAGCGCACGCAGGCGGUUUGUUAAGCUAGAUGUGAAAGCCCCGGGCUCAACCUGGGAUGGUCAUUUAGAACUGGCAGACUAGAGUCUUGGAGAGGGGAGUGGAAUUACCAGGUGUAGCGGUGAAAUGCGUAGAUAUCUGGAGGAACAUCAGUGGCGAAGGCGACUCCCUGGCCAAAGACUGACGCUCAUGUGCGAAAGUGUGGGUAGCGAACAGGAUUAGAUACCCUGGUAGUCCACACCGUAAACGCUGUCUACUAGCUGUGUGUGUC
This 750-nucleotide ribosomal RNA is filed under the name uncultured Alteromonas sp. RNAcentral describes it as "bacterial SSU rRNA". It matches the Rfam family "Bacterial small subunit ribosomal RNA", at positions 78 to 830 of the family's 1533-position model. Lineage: Bacteria; Pseudomonadati; Pseudomonadota; Gammaproteobacteria; Alteromonadales; Alteromonadaceae. The record is from RNAcentral.